Non-coding RNA from Macaca mulatta (Rhesus monkey), 887 nucleotides. The record is from RefSeq and is a predicted model, not a curated record. NCBI's taxonomy places the organism in Eukaryota, Metazoa, Chordata, Mammalia, Primates, Cercopithecidae.
GUGAUUACCUGGCUGAGGUAGUGUCUGUCAUGUUUAUCCACUAUCAUUGUACUCUGUUUCCUCCUUCGUAUACUGCACUAUUUGAAAGGAAGUCACCACGAGCAGCCAACAUGAAGGGUGGAGAAUUAUACUCCAACCACCCCUGACUUGAGGGAGCUGUAGCAUAUACUGUGAGUGUUCCACUCACAGCCUCUGCAACGUGGAAGAUCAUGAGUCCGUGAUUAUGAGAUCUCAGGAACAUGAACAUGAGAUCUCAGGAAAUUUUACUGCUAAUAGCUCGAACGCACCUCCUUUCAUUGCAGGGCCACUCACAGGCUUCCUGAUACUGCUUUAUGUGCAAACUGAAAGAGCCAGAAUUACACCCUCUCCUUUUCCAGGGAAACCAUGAGCCAAUGACUAAGGAUUUGGAGGUGUAAACUCCUUAGGCCCUUGAUACAGCUCUGAAUGAGGCCACUUGUCUUUAAAUCUCCCCAGUGGGACUUGGUUUGAUGCCACACCCUUGCUUGCUCUCCUUCCGUUCCCAGCUUUGCUUCCUACUUGACAACCUGUUUUUCCUACAAACAUUUCUUAACACACCACUUUUACAUGAUUUCUCAUCUCAGAACCACUUCUAGGAAACCCAGCUUGAGAGAAACAAUAGGUCUGAGACCCCUUUGAGACUCUGUUGAAAACCAUGGUUCAUCUUCAGAGAAAAUAAGGCAUUAUUCAUAUGAAAAUGUUUAUAUAACCUAUGGAUUUCAAUUUAAGGAUGCCAUGACUAAAAAUCUCUAAGGUAACUUGUGUUCUUAAAUUCACUCCCCCCUUCAAAGACAAAUUUAGUGUCUACUGAUAAUUGGCAUCAUUGUAAUUUCUGAUAUCAAAGUGAAUAAAACUAACCAGAUCCUUGC